Molecule: ribosomal RNA, 156 nt
Filed under: Triticum aestivum (bread wheat)
Lineage: Eukaryota; Viridiplantae; Streptophyta; Magnoliopsida; Poales; Poaceae
Description: rRNA 5_8S_rRNA
Rfam family: 5.8S ribosomal RNA
About the family: 5.8S ribosomal RNA (5.8S rRNA) is a component of the large subunit of the eukaryotic ribosome. It is transcribed by RNA polymerase I as part of the 45S precursor that also contains 18S and 28S rRNA. Functionally, it is thought that 5.8S rRNA may be involved in ribosome translocation.
Source: Rfam by way of RNAcentral
GACUCUCGGCAACGGAUAUCUCAGCUCUCGCAUCGAUGAAGAACGUAGCGAAAUGCGAUACCUGGUGUGAAUUGCAGAAUCCCGCGAACCAUCGAGUCUAUGAACGCAAGUUGCGCCCGAGGCCACUCGGUCGAGGGCACGCCUGCCUGGGCGUCA